RNAcentral lists this ribosomal RNA (482 nucleotides) under uncultured bacterium. RNAcentral's name for it is "partial 16S ribosomal RNA". It matches the Rfam family "Bacterial small subunit ribosomal RNA", at positions 30 to 507 of the family's 1533-position model. The record is from RNAcentral.
AUUGAACGCUGGCGGCAUGCUUUACACAUGCAAGUCGAACGGUAACAGGCCGCAAGGUGCUGACGAGUGGCGAACGGGUGAGUAAUGCAUCGGAACGUGCCCAGUCGUGGGGGAUAACUACUCGAAAGAGUAGCUAAUACCGCAUACGAUCUAUGGAUGAAAGCGGGGGACCGUAAGGCCUCGCGCGAUUGGAGCGGCCGAUGUCAGAUUAGGUAGUUGGUGGGGUAAAGGCUCACCAAGCCAACGAUCUGUAGCUGGUCUGAGAGGACGACCAGCCACACUGGGACUGAGACACGGCCCAGACUCCUACGGGAGGCAGCAGUGGGGAAUUUUGGACAAUGGGCGCAAGCCUGAUCCAGUAAUGCCGCGUGCAGGAAGAAGGCCUUCGGGUUGUAAACUGCUUUUGUACGGAACGAAACGGCUCUGGUUAAUACCCGGGGCUAAUGACGGUACCGUAAGAAUAAGCACCGGCUAACUACGUG